RNAcentral lists this ribosomal RNA (540 nucleotides) under Bifidobacterium pseudocatenulatum. Its description in RNAcentral is "bacterial SSU rRNA". It matches the Rfam family "Bacterial small subunit ribosomal RNA", at positions 144 to 696 of the family's 1533-position model. The record is from RNAcentral. Lineage: Bacteria; Bacillati; Actinomycetota; Actinomycetes; Bifidobacteriales; Bifidobacteriaceae.
UCUCCCUGGAAAACGGGUGGUAAUGCCGGAUGCUCCGACUCCUCGCAUGGGGUGUCGGGAAAGAUUUCAUCGGUAUGGGAUGGGGUCGCGUCCUAUCAGGUAGUCGGCGGGGUAACGGCCCACCGAGCCUACGACGGGUAGCCGGCCUGAGAGGGCGACCGGCCACAUUGGGACUGAGAUACGGCCCAGACUCCUACGGGAGGCAGCAGUGGGGAAUAUUGCACAAUGGGCGCAAGCCUGAUGCAGCGACGCCGCGUGCGGGAUGACGGCCUUCGGGUUGUAAACCGCUUUUGAUCGGGAGCAAGCCUUCGGGUGAGUGUACCUUUCGAAUAAGCACCGGCUAACUACGUGCCAGCAGCCGCGGUAAUACGUAGGGUGCAAGCGUUAUCCGGAAUUAUUGGGCGUAAAGGGCUCGUAGGCGGUUCGUCGCGUCCGGUGUGAAAGUCCAUCGCUUAACGGUGGAUCUGCGCCGGGUACGGGCGGGCUGGAGUGCGGUAGGGGAGACUGGAAUUCCCGGUGUAACGGUGGAAUGUGUAGAUA